This 253-nucleotide ribosomal RNA is filed under the name uncultured bacterium. RNAcentral's name for it is "partial 16S ribosomal RNA". It matches the Rfam family "Bacterial small subunit ribosomal RNA", at positions 524 to 776 of the family's 1533-position model. The record is from RNAcentral.
UACGAAGGGGGCUAGCGUCGCUCGGAAUUACUGGGCGUAAAGCGCACGUAGGCGGCUCUUUAAGUCGGGGGUGAAAUCCUGGAGCUCAACUCCAGAACUGCCUUCGAUACUGAAGAGCUCGAGUCCGGGAGAGGUGAGUGGAACUGCGAGUGUAGAGGUGAAAUUCGUAGAUAUUCGCAAGAACACCAGUGGCGAAGGCGGCUCACUGGCCCGGUACUGACGCUGAGGUGCGAAAGCGUGGGGAGCAAACAGG